This 465-nucleotide ribosomal RNA is filed under the name Vreelandella stevensii. RNAcentral's name for it is "partial 16S ribosomal RNA". It matches the Rfam family "Bacterial small subunit ribosomal RNA", at positions 338 to 795 of the family's 1533-position model. The record is from RNAcentral. Lineage: Bacteria; Pseudomonadati; Pseudomonadota; Gammaproteobacteria; Oceanospirillales; Halomonadaceae.
CCUACGGGUGGCAGCAGUGGGGAAUAUUGGACAAUGGGCGAAAGCCUGAUCCAGCCAUGCCGCGUGUGUGAAGAAGGCCUUCGGGUUGUAAAGCACUUUCAGUGGGGAAGAAAGCCUUGGGGCUAAUACCCUCGAGGAAGGACAUCACCCACAGAAGAAGCACCGGCUAACUCCGUGCCAGCAGCCGCGGUAAUACGAAGGGUGCGAGCGUUAAUCGGAAUUACUGGGCGUAAAGCGCGCGUAGGCGGUCUGAUAAGCCGGUUGUGAAAGCCCCGGGCUCAACCUGGGAACGGCAUCCGGAACUGUCAGGCUAGAGUGCAGGAGAGGAAGGUAGAAUUCCCGGUGUAGCGGUGAAAUGCGUAGAGAUCGGGAGGAAUACCAGUGGCGAAGGCGGCCUUCUGGACUGACACUGACGCUGAGGUGCGAAAGCGUGGGUAGCAAACAGGAUUAGAUACCCGAGUAGUC